AUGGCGCUCAUGGAAGUGCAUUUCUUUCUGCACCACAUGAGCGCGGCAGUGAAUGUGAUGAACAAAAUCUGGAGGUGCCACGUCGGUCGCAUACUGCUGGCGCCAACUGAAGCCCGGCAAAAGGUCCCUUGGCCUCCUUUGUCAAUGCGCCUAACCUCCGGUGUGCCUUACCAUGGAAUCAUUUUGGUGUCUGAGAGAGUCAUGGUUCAAGCUAUCAGAGGGUGGUGGUCGUGGAACAGCUUGGCAGCUUCUUACAGCUUCGCGCAGGCUCCCAGGCACCACAUUGCAAGCUUCAACAAUUGA
This 303-nucleotide ribosomal RNA is filed under the name Triticum aestivum (bread wheat). RNAcentral's name for it is "partial small subunit ribosomal RNA". Lineage: Eukaryota; Viridiplantae; Streptophyta; Magnoliopsida; Poales; Poaceae. The record is from RNAcentral.